This 2468-nucleotide unclassified non-coding RNA is filed under the name Hevea brasiliensis (rubber tree). The record is from RNAcentral. Lineage: Eukaryota; Viridiplantae; Streptophyta; Magnoliopsida; Malpighiales; Euphorbiaceae.
CACACUUAUACAUAUAUAAAAAAAUAAAUAAAUAUCAUUAAUUCAACAUUUCAUCCAAUAUUUUUUUUUUAACUAUUUUCCAUCUACAAAGACAUUUUUCGUCAAACAAGCGGCGCACCUUUAUCGACUAAUUAUUAAUGUGAAGCAGCUAAGUUAAAUGAUCUCACAUCUCAUUUUUAUCUAGAUUAAAAGGCUGCAUAAAAUCAAGUCACUCGAAUUAAUUCUUGAAUAUCUGCGAGAGUUCACAAAAAGCAAUUGUAGUCUAUACAGCUCCAGCCCUUGCUUCUUCAGCGAGAAUAGAACAAAUGCUUAUAAAUUCAAUGAGUCGCAUGUAAAUUUAUCAUCAAUUCCUAACAUUUUCAGUUUACAUAAAUGAAGAAAGAAGCACAAAUAUGUUAAACAUUUCCUUCAAGUUGUUACCUGCUGCUCAGUUGUGUCAUCAUUUUUAGCUUCUGCCUCAUCUGCAUUCUCACCUUUGAUUCAAUUCCUCUGAAUUCAUGUCAGCAGGAGCAGACCCUACAACAUUAGCUUCUUCAACAGUGUCUUUUUUCUCAGGUAGUGCUCCUCCAUUUACAGAGGCAUCCUCAACUGCAUUUCCAUUUGCCUCCUUUGACUCUGUCUCAGCUUCUUUGUUCCCAAACAACUUUGAUGGAAGCAAAGAAGAAAUAGCAGCUCUUGCACUUCGCUUGGCAGCCUCAGCUGCCUCAGCCUCCUUAGCCUUAGCUUCAGCUUUCUCCUUCUCCUUCUUCUCCAUAAGCUCCGUCAACUCCUCCUCUCUACUAUCUCUUCCCAAUUGUUCCUUGGCAAACUCCUGCAACUCGGAAUCAAACUCGAUCGCCUCAUCGUCCAACAUUGCUUCAACCAUUUUAAGCAGUUCAUCCAUCUGCCCUGCAUCUGCCAAUGCUGUCAUCAUAAACUUGUAGCUCGCAUUAUCCAUCUUAAGUUUCUUCACCAUCAAAUAAUAAAACGAUUUUGCCUCAUCAAUCUUUCCAAAACUAACCAACUUAUCAACCAAUCUAUUGUAGACUGCCAAGUUAGGCCUCAACCCUGAAUCCACCAUCUUUCUAAAGUAUGCAGCCCCGUCAUCAACUCUAUUCUCCUCAAAGCAAGAAUCCAUCAAUAGACCAUAAGUAUACUCAUCCGGUUUCACCCCCUUCCCAUCCAUUUCUCCAUAUAGCUCCUCAGCUUUAACCAACAUUCCAUUUUUGCACAACUGAUCAAUCAAGUUAUUAAAUGAUAAGACGUCUGCACUGCAUCUAUAAUCACCCAUCUUCCUGAAAACCUCAAUGGCAUCUUCAAAUCUCCCUUGUGCGCAAUAACCAUCAACCAUCACAUUGAAGCUCCCCAAAUUCACAGCCAAACGUCUAGGUGGGUUAUGUUCCUGCACCAUCCUAUCAAACAACUUCAAAGCCUCAUCAAACUUACCAUUCUUGCACAAUGCAUCCAAUACCGAAUUGUAAGCAACGGUACUCAUCUUAACCUUUGAAUUCUCCCCCACAGCCUCUUCAUAACACUCCAUAGCCUCAUUUUCCAUUCCCCUCAGGAAAUAACCCUUCAUCAAAGCCCCAUAAACCACUCCAUCAUCCACAAACCCACCCAUCUUCUCCUUCAACUCCUUAAAAAGCCUAAAAAUCCCAUCGGAAUCUGAAUUUCUCGCGCACCCUACCAUCAAAUAAUGAUAAACAAGUGGGUCUGGCAUGAACCCUUUAGUCCCCACCAUCUCCUCUUUCAACUCCAAAGCUUUCUCAACCUUUCCAUUAUCCACUAACCCUUUAAUCAAAAUCCGAUAAGUUGUCGGAGACGGAUUAAAGGGAGCAUCAUUGAUUAGCUGCUUAUAGUGCUCAAGCGCUGUAUCCGGCUUCCGGCAAUCCAGAUAAGUCUGGAAGAUUAAAUUAUGAGUAAUUAUAUUGGGUGCCACACCAGCCUGAAUAAUGAAGCGAUGAAGGGAAAGGAGAUCGGAGUAUUUGGACUGGCGGAGCUGGGCAUUAAGGACGGCGUUGACAGUGUAGAUGGUCGGUCGGCAAUUAGAGUAGAUCGAGUGGCGCGUGAAAAGCGCAGCCUCCUCAAGGUCAUUCUGGCGGAUGAGGGUCAAGAUGCGGUUAUGGAGAUCAAGGCGUUUACCGGAAACUUCAGAGAUGGGUUCGGGGACUUUGGGGGCGUUAGGGUUUUGAAUGGGUUUUGGGAUUUGUUGGGGUUGAGAUUGUUGUUGGGCGCGGUGGAGGGAGGAAAGCGGGGGUUCGAUGCGUUGGCGUCGUUUGCGGCGACGCCGUUCUGCGGCGGCUUCUUCCGGCGAGGAGAAGGAGAGGAAACGGACAGAGACGAUAGAUGACGGAGAACGGUGGUGGUGAGUAGCGAGGGCUUUGAGGUGGGCGAAGAAUGUUGGUUUAGAGAGUGCCAUGGAAGAUAAGGGUUUCAGCAAGGAACAAGAUGAGGAUAUUGAUGGAGCAGGAAAAAAUGUAGGGUUCAGG